RNAcentral lists this small nucleolar RNA (106 nucleotides) under Phaseolus vulgaris (common bean). RNAcentral's name for it is "Plant small nucleolar RNA R71". It matches the Rfam family "Plant small nucleolar RNA R71". Rfam says of the family: R71 is a member of the C/D box family of snoRNAs containing the C (UGAUGA) and D (CUGA) box motifs. The record is from Rfam by way of RNAcentral. Lineage: Eukaryota; Viridiplantae; Streptophyta; Magnoliopsida; Fabales; Fabaceae.
AACCCAUGAUUUGGGCAUUUUCUCAGCAUCACUUUGAAUCUUUUCCAUGUUUCACAAAAGACUUCAUCAGAUCCUUAUAUGAACAUAGAAAUAUUAGACUUUGCUU